GCCAGGGUGGCAUUGCGGUUUGAGUGCUGGACUAUGAUUCUGGAGACCAGGGUUCGAUACCCAGCUCGGCCA
RNAcentral lists this transfer RNA (72 nucleotides) under Phrynosoma platyrhinos (Desert horned lizard). RNAcentral's name for it is "tRNA-OTHER". Lineage: Eukaryota; Metazoa; Chordata; Lepidosauria; Squamata; Phrynosomatidae. The record is from RNAcentral.